CCUCCGGGAUGAUGGGGACACUGUUGGGACCGCCUCUAGCUAAAGAGGAGGAAGGAAUGGGCAACGGUAGGUCAGCAUGCCCCGAAUUAUCCGGGCUACACGCGGGCUACAAUGGUCAGGACAAAUGGGUAUCGACACCGAGAGGUGGAGGCAAUCUCCUAAACCUGUCCUUAGUUCGGAUUGUGGGCUGCAACUCGCCCACAUGAAGCUGGAAUCCGUAGUAAUCGCGUUUCAAAUAGCGCGGUGAAUAUGUCCCUGCUCCUU
RNAcentral lists this ribosomal RNA (264 nucleotides) under uncultured Methanolinea sp. Its description in RNAcentral is "partial 16S ribosomal RNA". It matches the Rfam family "Archaeal small subunit ribosomal RNA", at positions 1076 to 1338 of the family's 1478-position model. The record is from RNAcentral. Lineage: Archaea; Methanobacteriati; Methanobacteriota; Methanomicrobia; Methanomicrobiales; Methanoregulaceae.